Molecule: long non-coding RNA, 1719 nt
Organism: Monodelphis domestica (gray short-tailed opossum)
Lineage: Eukaryota; Metazoa; Chordata; Mammalia; Didelphimorphia; Didelphidae
Source: Ensembl
CCAUUCAUUGUUUUCUCCUGAGUUUGUUUCUUCAUCUUCCCUAUCACCAUGAUGAUCUUUAUGGUCAGGUCCUUUUUGGUUAUUGUUUACUCAUCUUUCUAGCCUAUUUCUCAACUUUGAACUUUCUGUUAAAGUUUGGCUCUACUAUGGGCAGAAGGUGUGUAGUUAAUCAGAGCAUGGAAGCACUAUCUCAAGCCUCAGGUUUUUCCUCACUACUGUUUUCAGAGCUAGUUCUGAAGAUCUACAAGUUUUUGGUUUUCCAAGGCAGUGUGAUCUGGGAAGAGGUGAUGAGGUACACCUAUAAUUAUGAGAAAUCAUGAACAAGGACUUAGAAAAAGCUGUCAAACUUGAAAAGCUAGGACAUCCCCAACCACCACUCACUGGUAGUUUUGAUUUAGAACAGAACUGUCUCCUAUUGUCAUGUCUUCAUCGAGAGGGACUUGGAGACCCAGAGGAACUGCUAGAGCUGGAACUUCAGGAGGUGCUAGAGCUUCCUGAACAGCUUGAUGUGGAAGAAGAGCUGGACCCACUGCUAAAGCCAGCACUGGUACUAGAACCAAAGCUAGAGGUGGAAUUGAAUCGAGACCUGGAAGUACUGCUACCACUGGAGGCACUGUAUCUCUUACGUGCUUUGUCUCUACCACAGUCCUUUUCGCUUAACUCUUUGGUGGCCCCAUUAUCUUUAGACUGGCCCUUUGACUUCUCAUCAGUUCUAUCUUUACAUUUGGUGAGAGGGAGCCAUCUUCCCAGGUUCUCUGCUUCUGCCACCCAUUCCUUCUCCACACUCUCUGGAGACCAAAGAUAACAAUAGAAGAUGGGUCACCAGAUUGUUAAUUUUAUGGUUGUACUGAAUAUUUAAUUGGUCUCCAGGGAUUUAAUUUGUAAAUCCCAAAAAUGAAUUACUAAACUAAAAUGGAAUUCAUGGCGGUUUAUUUUACAAUAGAGGGAAGAUAUUAAGGAAGAGAGAGAGAGUGUGCGCUCUGGCUUCUCUGAGACAGGUAGAAAUUCUAAAGCCCCAGCCAGGAGAAAGUAGCCACAAGAUGAUGGGCCUUUCUCAGAGCCUCAUGCCUCCAGAAAGGGCAAGGAAGGAAGUCAGCCUUUACACUCACCACAUUGUCAGUGCAAUCAGCAUAUUCUUUUAUCAACCUCAACUCCAGCAGACUCUACUCCAAGUGUGUCUCUUUCAAACUCCAAGUGUCCCUCUUCAGUCCAAGUGUCUCUGGGUGUGUCUCGGUUUCCACUUUUAAAGACCUUUUUCUCUUUUGUCACUUCCCCUAAAUUUUUACAUCUACCAAUCACAGCUGAUCCUCCACUCCAGGAUUGCCCACUCUUUUGCACAUGGGUCACAGACCUCCCACUCAAUGUAUGAAAUGGGUGUUCACACCAUUUUUGUGGUUAAAAUUAAAAAAUGGGUAGAUCUCUAUACUCAACUUUAAAUACUGUGCUUACAUUUUGGGGGCUAUAAAUCUAAAAAUAGACAGGGGAUUAUAAUUUAAUCUUCAUACUCAAGGAAGAGCUAAGUGCCUUCAUUGUUAUAAUCAGGAGAGAGCCAAAUCCAAUCUUCACAAUAUGAAUAUAACAAAGUAUUAUGGUGCCAUUUGAAAUUAUGAAAGGAAUUAAUUCAUAAUAACCUUGAAGGACUGGCAUGAAAUGAUACAGAAUGAAGUAAACAGAACCAGAAAAAAACAAUUUUAUAUAACAACCACAGCAUGGUAAAGA